GUCUAGCCCUGAUAGUAGCGGCAUCCUUAAUACCCUUGGAGGGUUAGAGCCCUACAAGGGUAUUAAGAUAUAGCGGAUAGCAGGAAAUAGC
Molecule: small RNA, 91 nt
Filed under: Flavobacterium terrigena
Lineage: Bacteria; Pseudomonadati; Bacteroidota; Flavobacteriia; Flavobacteriales; Flavobacteriaceae
Description: Flavo-1 RNA
Rfam family: Flavo-1 RNA
Source: RNAcentral